CCGGGCUGGGCGGGGCCGUGCAGGCGGCCGUCUCGGCCCUCCCUGGCGGGGCCCCCGCGGCCUGGGCGCCCGAGCGAACGGGCAGAGCCGCGGUAGCGGCGAGCUGUCCUGCAGCUAGACCCGGGGAGACUGAACGCCGCGAGGGGAGGCGGUGGCUGACCGGCCCCGCCCGCCCGAGGUCGGACACCCACAGACGCCCAGUCAUGGAGCCUGAACCAGUGGAAGACUGCGUGCAGAGCACACUUGCUGCCUUGUAUCCACCCUUUGAAGCCACAGCCCCAACCCUGUUGGGCCAAGUGUUCCAGGUGGUGGAGAGGACGUACCAGGAGGAUGCGCUGAGGUACACGCUGGACUUCCUAGUACCUGCUAAACACCUGCUUGCCAAGGUCCAGCAGGAAGCCUGUGCCCAGUAUAGUGGAUUCCUCUUCUUCCACGAGGGCUGGCCGCUCUGCUUGCAUGAGCAGGUGGUAGUGCAGCUGGCAGCCCUUCCCUGGCAGCUGCUGCGCCCUGGAGACUUCUACCUGCAGGUAGUGCCCACCUCGGCCCAAGCGCCCCGCCUGGCACUGAAAUGCCUGGCCCCAGGAGGUGGGCGGGUACAAGAGCUGCCAGUGCCCAGUGAAGCCUGUGCCUACCUGUUCACACCCGAGUGGCUACAAGGCAUUAACAAGGACCGGCCGACAGGGCGCCUCAGCACUUGCCUCCUGUCCGCACCGUCUGGGAUCCAGCGGCUGCCCUGGGCUGAGCUCAUCUGCCCAAGAUUUGUGCACAAGGAGGGCCUCAUGGUUGGGCAUCGGCCCAGCACACUGCCUCCAGAGCUGCCCUCGGGACCUCCAGGGCUUCCUAGCUCCCCGCUCCCUGAGGAGGCGCUGGGAACCCGGAGUCCUGGGGAUGGACACAAUGCUCCCGCCGAAGGUCCAGAGGGUGAAUAUGUAGAGCUGUUGGAGGUGACACUGCCCGUGAGGGGAAGCCCCGUAGAUGCCGAGGCCUCAGGCCUCUCCAGGACCCGCACAGUACCCACUCGUAAGACUACUGGAGGGAAGGGCCGGCACCGGAGACACCGGGCAUGGAUGCACCAGAAAGGCCUGGGGUCUCGGGACCAGGACGGGGCACGCCCACCUGGUGAGGGGAGUAGCGCAGGAGCGUCCUCUCACUCACCCCCAGGAGCUGAGGCAGACCCAGACACAGAGGUGCCGGUGCCAGAGGCAUCUGAGCCCCCAGCGGAGGCUCUCAGGGAGGCCUCUCAGUCCUGCCUCCUGUCAGGGGAGGCUGGGGGAGGAGUGGCCCAGGGGGCUGAAGGAGCACCUGGUACCCCUCGAAGAACAGGCAAAGGAAACAGAAGAAAGAAGCGACCUGGCGGCAGAGGUGCUGUUAGCCGUGGAGGGGAGAGUACCCCGCUUGGCCCGAGGGACAAGGAAGAGGCUAGACAGCAGGAAGUCCUUGUCAGUCUGCCCUCGCCCCGAGAGCAGGAACCUGCAGAAUGCAGCCUGGUUAAGGAAAGAGAGGAUUCUGGGAAGCCAGAGUCUGAAUCAAAAGAGGAACUCAAGCCAGCAGAAGAAAAAGAGCCUGCCUCCCCAGAAGACUGUGGGCCUCCAGAAGAGGAGAUCAGAGAGAGUGGGCAAGAAGGGUUGCUCCCGGUGUGUAUGGCAGGACCCACAGGUCCAGAAUGGCUCCCAUCUGACCCCCCAGCCCAGCCCCUGGAGUCCAUGCAGGAUGGAAAAGAAGACAGCAUCCCAGAACAAAGUCCCCCAGUUUCCAUUUUGGAUGGCCCACUUGUAGCUUGGGACUUGAUGUCAUCUGGAUUCUUCGUUUUGACUGGAGGGGUAGAUCAGACUGGGAGAGCUUUGCUGACGAUUACGCCUCCGCCUCCGUGCCUUCCUGAGGAGCCCUCACCCUCCCACGAGACGCUGAAGACCUCUCUUCGUUAUCUCCACUCACUGCUCAGGCCUGAUCUGCAGUUAUUGGGACUGACCAUCCUGCUAGAUCUCCGCAAGGCACCCCCACUGCCUCCAGCACUUAUGCCUGCCUUGAGGCAGCUUCAGGACUCGGGCGACCCUCCGCUCAUUCAGCGGCUCGUGAUUCUCAUUCAUGAAGACCCUCCAGCUGAACUCUGUGGACUUCAGGGAGCCGAGUUGCUGUCAGAGAAGGAGCUGAAGAGAGUAGCCAAGCCAGAAGAACUACAAUGGGACUUAGGAGGUCACAGAGACCUCUCCCCCAACCACUGGGUAGAGAUUCACCAGGAAGUGGCAAGGCUGUGCACCUUGUGUCAAGGUGUGUUGACGUCUGUACGGCAGGCCAUUGAGGAGCUAGAGGGAACAGCAGAGCGAAACGAAGAGGAGGCAGUGGGAAUGCCUGAGCCCCUUCAAAAGGUGCUGGCAGAUCCUCGGCUGACGGCACUACAGAGGAACGGAGGAGCCAUCCUGGUGCGGCUGCGCUCCACUCAUAGCAGCAAGCUAGAGGGUCCAGGCCCAGCUGUGCUGUACCAGGAGGUCGAUGAAGCCAUUCACCAACUUGUGCGUCUGUCCAACCUACACGUGCAGAAGCAGGAACGACACCAACGCCGGCGCCAGCUCCAGCAGGUGUUACAGUGGCUCUCUGGCCCAGGGGAAGAGCAGCUGGCCAGCUUCUCCAUGCCUGGGAACUCACUGUCAGUCUUGCAAGAGACAGAACUGCGAUUCCGGACUUUCAGCACUGAGGUGCAGGAGCGCCUAGUCCAGGCCCGGGAAGCUUUGGCUCUGGAGGAGGAUGUCACCUCCCAGAAAGUUCUGGAUAUCUUUGAACAACGAUUGGAGCAGGCUGAGAGUGGCCUCCAUCGGGCCCUUCGGCUACAGCGCUUCUUCCAGCAGGCACAUGAAUGGGUAGACGAGGGCUCUGCUCGGCUGGCGGGAGCUGGGCCUGGUCGUGAGGCUGUGCUGGCAGCCCUGGCCCUACGGAGGGCCCCAGAGCCCAGUGCAGGGACCUUCCAAGAGAUGCGAGCCCUGGCCCUGGACCUGGGAAGCCCAGCAGCUCUUCGAGAGUGGGGCCGAUGCCGGGCACGCUGCCAAGAGCUGGAAAAGAGGAUUCAGCAGCAGCUGGGAGAGGAGGCCAGUCCACGAGGCCCCCGACGAAGACGGGCAGAUAGUGCCAGCAGCACAGGGGCACAGCAUGGAGCCCAUAGCCCUUCACCCAGCCUCAGCUCCCUGCUGCUUCCCAGCAGCCCCGGGCCACGGGCAGCCCCAUCACAUUGCUCUCUGACUCCGUGUGGGGAGGACUAUGAGGAAGAAGGCCUUGAGAUGGCUCCAGAGGCGGAUGGAAGACCCCCAAGGGCUGUGCUGAUCCGAGGCCUGGAAGUCACCAGUACCGAAGUGGUGGACAGAACAUGUUCACCCCGAGAACACGUGCUGUUAGGUCGGGCUGGAGGGCCAGACGGGCCCUGGGGAGUAGGUACCCCUCGCAUGGAACGCAAACGAAGCAUCAGUGCCCAGCAGCGUCUAGUGUCUGAACUGAUUGCCUGUGAGCAGGAAUACAUAACCACUCUGAAUGAGCCAGUGCCACCGCCUGGGCCCGAGCUGACGCCUGAGCUCCGAGGCACCUGGGCCGCAGCCCUGAGUGCCCGAGAGAGGCUUCGCAGCUUCCACGGGACACACUUUCUCCAAGAGCUUCAGGGCUGCGUCACCCAUCCACUGCGCAUUGGGGCCUGCUUCCUUCGCCAUGGGGACCAGUUCAACCUCUAUGCACAGUUUGUGAAGCACAGGCGUAAGCUGGAGAGCGGACUGGCUGCACUCGUUCCCUCAACCAAGGGUUCCAUGGAGGGCAGCCCCUGUUUGCCCCGGGCCCUGCAGCAGCCCCUGGAGCAGCUGGCUCGGUAUAGACAGCUGCUGGAGGAGCUCCUGAGGGAAGCUGGGCCCGAGCUAAGCUCCGAACGCCAGGCCCUCAGGACUGCUAUACAGUUGCUCCAGGAACAAGAGGCCCGAGGCAGAGAUCUGCUCGCUGUGGAAGCCGUGCGAGGCUGUGAGAUAGAUCUGAAGGAACAGGGGCAGCUCUUGCAUCGGGACCCAUUCACUGUCAUCUGUGGCCGGAAAAAGUGUCUCCGCCAUGUCUUCCUCUUUGAGGAUCUGCUCUUGUUCAGCAAGUUCAAGGGCUCUGAGGGAGGAUCUGAGACCUUUGUUUAUAAGCAGGCCUUCAAGACCGCUGACAUGGGCCUGACAGAAAACAUUGGGGACAGCGGACUCUGCUUUGAACUAUGGUUUCGGCGACGGCGCACACGAGAAGCAUACACAUUGCAGGCUAGCUCACCAGAGACCAAAGUCAAGUGGACAAGUUCUAUUGCCCAGCUGCUGUGGAGACAGGCAGCCCACAACAAGGAGCUCCGAGUACAGCAGAUGGUUUCCAUGGGCAUCGGGAACAAACCUUUCCUGGACAUCAAAGCCCUUGGCGAGCGGACGCUGAGUGCCCUGCUCACUGGAAGAGCCGCCCGCACCCGGGCCUCCGUAGCCGUGUCAUCCUUUGAGCAUGCUGGCCCGUCCCUUCCCGGCCUCUCACCGGGAGCCUGCUCCCUGCCUGCCCGCGUCGAGGAGGAGGCCUGGGAUCUGGACGUCAAGCAGAUUUCCCUGGCCUCAGAAACACUUGACUCUUCUGGAGAUGUGUCCCCAGGACCAAGAAACAGCCCCAGCCUGCAGCCCCCCCACCCCGGGAGCAGCACUCCCACUCUGGCCAGUGGAGGGAUCUUAGGGCUUUCCCGGCAGGCCUGGCUGAGAGGCAAUCAAGGUCAGAGGUCAAAAUCUUGAGAAGCGGGGAGACACAUACACUAGAGACUAUGUCUAAACACACUGCAAUUUCUGUGUCCUCAGAGUCAUUCCCGAGCCCUGAGUGACCCCACCACGCCUCUGUGACCUAGAGAAGACCCAGAACUUGGCCACAGCCCCUCCUCAGCACGUUUUAGACUGGGAUGCCAAGGGGACAUAAUGAAGGACUGAAGCUCUCAAAGACCCCCCUCCCCCCAGCUUCCUGGACAGAGGGCAAGGACCAGAGCUUCCCCUGCCAUAGCUAUCUCUAGCUCUCCCCUGCUUGGUGCCUUCUGCUGCAGGAACCACAGUGGUGCUGUUUGCUUGCCCUUAUGCCCGGGGGACAGGGAAGAGCCCUCUUCCAGCUUUUCCCCAGCCUGUGCUAAUGCACACCCCCAGGACGCUGCUCUGCCGACAGCCCGCUUCUCUCCUCCCGACUCUCCCAGAAGAUUCAUCUCUGCCAGGUCGAAUUGAAUUCCAUUCUGGGGUGUCAUGGGAAAUGAAGUGUUGCAAGCCACUGGAGGAGAUGGGGUGGGCACUGCAGACUUUAUAUAUGUAAUUACUGUUACUGUACUAUUGUUAUAUUAAAUGUAUUUA
Psammomys obesus (fat sand rat) is the source of this 5357-nucleotide RNA transcript. It is a transcript of the gene named Rho guanine nucleotide exchange factor 40, with no coding region annotated. Lineage: Eukaryota; Metazoa; Chordata; Mammalia; Rodentia; Muridae. The transcript has 24 exons. The record is from RefSeq and is a predicted model, not a curated record.